AAACAACACAAUAAACCAUCAUUUAUUAUCAUUAUUCACGUUCAUCAGAGUCCAUCUAUUCCGUCAGUUUUCCGGGCCGCCCGUAUCCGUGGGCACGGCUAGUAUACCAGAUUUAACACUCUGCAGAGGUUGUACAUCUUUACCCAUGAGUCGUGAUUUACCCUUUCGCCCGAGGUCAUGAGUCUCUUAACCCCCUUCCAAGGGAGGUCGGCAGGGAUCACUAUGAAGCCUUUCAAAGGUUUCGUCUAACAAGUUAGGGCCAUUAGAUUCACUCGGCAGGCAGAUAUAGAGCCCCCCUUCCAUGGCACAUAACCCGCAGCCUAUACACAUGGAUAGAGGCCACACUAUACCCAACGUGUCUAGCCAUUCUUACGCCAUUUAAGGUAACCGCUAACAAGCUAGAAAAAGAUCCUCAUACUGAGCUAAAACCAGAGCCAUGUAGCCCUCAUGGUUGUACGAGUUGUCCCAGAUUUUGCCAAGGGAUAAGUCCUUAUGGAGGGUCAAGAUCAAUCUAGCGAAAGCCAGAGUUCUUUCCACCCUUUAUAUUCAAGUUGUUAGAAAGCUUAUUUUAUUGUUUAUUGUAUAUCCAAAUAUUCUUGUUACAAGAUCAUGGAUUAAUAAUCAAGCACUAGCAAAAACUACCCAAAUGCAUAUCCAAAUAGGUAUCAAGGAAUUUAAGAUAGCAAGCAACUAUGAUUUCGCUAGGGUUGUCAAGGUGAACACAUGCAUAUGAUAUAUGUGUAAUUAUAAGUGUAUAGGUAACAAGGAUGAUCCCCAGUUAUACUUGCCUUGAUCAAAGCUCUCCUGAGCCUGCUGGUCUUCAAAAGCUUGGUCUUGAUCACCAACGUACAGCUCACCGUCUAAUCCCAAUCAUCAAUCAACAACACGCAAUCCAAUGUAGACAAUCAUACACGAAGCAAACAAGAUAUAAUUAGAACAAUACACCAAACAGUGGUAAAACAAAUAUAAAAGUUUAUCAAAAUAUUCUACGCAGCACUACGAUCACAUAAACGUAAAGUUCACGAAAAUCGGAAUUAAAACGGAGAAGUUAUGCAUUUUCCAAGAUUUCCUAUAGAGAAAUAAUUAAUUAAAUAAUACCAGGAAAUUUAAAUGUUUAAAAACAGUAAACUAACAUUUCUAUCAUGUAGAUCAUGUAAUUACGAACCUAACGGAAUUUGAAUGGACAAAAACGGAGUUAAAAUGAAUAUUUUAUGAGCAUUAUAAAAUCAGUGGCAAUUCUGUAAUUUCUGCAAAACGUAUUUGAACUCGGCCGACAGAAAAUACGCUUUCCCACUUCGAAAACGGAAUCUUGCUCAGGGCGCCAAGGACCGCGGGGCAAAUAUGGAAAACUAUCAGGGACUCUUUACGAAGAAUUGCAGCGAAAGGGUAUGUUUUCAAGAAAGAAAAACACCGGGAUGAAGAGGAGCUCACCACGAUCUCGUCUAAGCAAUUGGUUGGGUCCGAGAGAGAACGGAGAGGGCUUGCCGCGGAGAGGAACAAGAUCGGCCAUGCCGAGAUCCGAACUCCAGAGAAUACGGCGACUAGGGCUCGGUUUCACAACUUGGAUGCAAAGAGGGAGCCGCGGGGUUUACCUAGGGCUUUAUAGGGGCUUGAUUUGCACAAAAGGCAAGAGAAUCCCGCUGUUCCCGGGAUUGAGUCGGCCGGUUUGUGAGUCCGGGUCGACUACGAACAGAGGUAGGGGACGAGCGCUGUCCCGCAGGCCCCACUUGUCAUAGAAAGAAGGGUGGGACCCGACUGUCAGCGGGUCAAGAAGAGGGGAAGGAAAAUCGCGCCUGGUAGCCUGACUGCUGGGCCGCACAGCGCGUUGGGCUGGGGCGGAGGAAUUGGGCCGGGCGAGGGAGAAGAAUGGGAGAGGGGUUUUUUUUUCCUUUUCUUUUCUUUUGUUUUCUUAUUAUUCCAAAGCUAUUUUCACAUCAUUUCAAAACAUUUUGAAUUAUUUUAAAAUUUUGAGUUCAAAUACACUCAUCACAAUAAAUAGAAUGCAAAGGCAUGCAUGCUCAAGCAUGUUUUCUACGUCCUACGAUGAAUUUUAGUUUAAUGAAAAAUAUUAUUUUCCUAUGUUUCAUGAGCACAAAAAUUCAUAAUUAAAUCAUUUUAGCUCUAUUUCCCAGAAAACAAUUUUUAGGGUGUUACAAAUCUACCCCCCUUUAGAUGAAUCUCGUCCUCGAGAUUCGGAAGAUGGUGAUCAAAGAGAUGUAGAUACUCCACUUUUGAACCUUGUUCACUUCCUUGAGUAGCUCUUUCUUAGUAACCAUUCUAUGGCCUUUGUCACUCCGAACAUCUCCAUCAAUGGUUCCCAAGAGUUCAGCAAUGUAAUUCGUAUAGAUAAGGUUUUUUUUUACUCAUAGCUUAUCUGGGGUAUAUGUUCCUUGCCCAUCCAUUUAAAACCUGAUGCAUUUCCAACCAUGAUAUACUCAACUUUCUCCUUAUUACUUUCAUCGUCCCAUUUCACAAUCAUCCUUCUCCUUCUUCCAAAGUGAGCCCUAUCAAUUUCCAAAUUUGUAGUGUUAGUAAUAUCACUCAACCUCCGCACACAAAUCCUCAAAUCUAGGUGUUGUCCAAACUUUUCCUAGCACACUCUUUAUGAUAAGAGCUUUGGCAUCGACAUAUACUUCUCCAUAAUCCCACCACUAGAGACAACAUAUUCAAUUUAGAGAACUUAGUUCACUCAAAACUUACUAGCCAUGCAUGGUGAAAUAAUAAGGUUUCAUAACUCUCUGAAGAAUCAUCCGUAGAUGUUCGAUAUCUCUUUCCAAUAUCAUUAAUGUCAUCUUGUCUUGGGCAUGUUGGAAGUUGAACCUCCAUUUGAUAAUAGCUCAAUGUGGAGACCAAUCUUGACGAAUACUUGAACUCAUUGGUGCAAAGAGUAACCACUCUUGAGCAAAGAUAUUUGUGGUUGAUAGGGAGUUGUCCACCAAAGGAAUAACAGAUCUUCCAAAUAAAAUACUUGAACACAUAAAACCUUUGUCUUGCAACUUCUAUAGCUUGGCUACCCCCCUUAAGAUGAGAUCAGCUAGGGGAUACCAAGGAUGGCUUGAACAUUCUUAUGAGUAGGUUAACUACCAUAAAAGAGCUUCUUAUAUCCAAGAGAACUCAUAUACAUAGACAAGAACAAGAAAUCAGAAAUUCCUCGCAAGAUGAAAAACAGCAACUUAGUAAACCAGCUACAACUAAUGUUCCGUCAACCUGAUAGAGUUAUGGUCUACACUGCUGGAAAGCUUAUCAAAUUCUCCACAACUUUCUUGUUGAUCACUUCCCCAUAUUCGGGCGUUAAAAUAAGGUUUGAUAAUCCAACAUAAAAUCUGUCCAGGAAGUCUGACAACACAGACACAGCAUCUUGAAACAGUCAUAUCAUGAGCCAUAGAAACCAUAUAAUGACGAUCCUUACAAUGUUGAAAAGCUUAUGAAAUCCUCUGAAACUUUUGUAUACAACUUUUUCCCAGAUUAUGAAGUUAAUUUGGCUGAAAUUAGGAAAUACUAGGACUGUCCAGACUUUGAAAUAGAACAGAAACAUCCAAUUGCAUCUGUCAUAUCUCAGGAUCUACUUAUCCAAAUAAGUUCUAGCUUACACCGUUGGAAAGCUUAGAAAAUUGUCUACAACUCUUCUAUAGAACACUUUUCCAAAUUCUAUAGUUAUAUUUGUCUAGAACAGUAGGCAACCGAACUGAUCCAGAUUCCUGACAGCACAUAUGUAUCAUCUUGUGAUUUUUGUAACUUCCAAACCAUAAUAGAUAUGAGGGUGAUCCUUGCGGUCAGAGAAAUAUCUUGAAGUCUAGUUGUUCCCAGAAAAAUUUGAUAGACGUUGCAUGAUCAGAACUUGAGAUACACCAGAAUUAUUGCAGUCUGCUUCAGAAAACAGCAAAGGAUAGAAACAGGAUAUAACCGAACCCAACUACUUAUUUCACUACUCCUUAUGCCUUAGGCCUAUAAACUAAAUGAUAUCGUGGAGAAAACCCACAAGAUCAUUGCACUCAUUACAAAGAUCCAAAUCAAUCAUAAGCAUAAUAACAAACCAAACCAAGCAUCAAAGGUUCACACUUCAAGCAUUAACUCAACUUGCGGUACUAUCGUUCUCUUCCUAUUAAGGGCAAAGAUCCUAAAACUUAUAUUUCAAGGACACAAGAAGGUGGUAAGAAAAGGUUCUAAUAGCAUACCAAAUCAAGGAGUGAAGGUGAGAGCAAGUACUCUUAAAAUAAGCAACAAGGUAGAGAAAUAGCAAGGAUAGGGAUAUAGUAUGGAUGAAAAUAUCAAGGUUUAUAGAGCAAGGAUUUUAUGACAAUUCCAAAACCUUAAGAUGACCAAUUUCUAACUAGGCUUGCGUCCUACAGUCAGCAUUGCUCUGAUACCACUUUGUAAUACCCGAUUUUAAGGACAAAACCAGAUAUACACCAUAUGUGAGUUUUAAAAGCCAAAUCUCACAUAUAGCUACAAAAUAAGAGGUAAUAUCAAAAGACAAUGCAUAAAUUAUAUAACGAACGUAGUAUAAAAGAUAUAACCUUUGAUAGCAAACAGCGGAUAGACAACAUCAAACUUCGGGUAUUAACUUCUCUCCACAGGAUCCAACUGACUGGUUGAGCACAAGCCUAACAUCUCCUGAAGUGUGGGGGAAAUUGCAAGAGUGAGCACAUAUCGUACUCAACAAGUAUAACCAGGGGUUCAUGAGGCUCAAAUGGCUGACACUGGUUUAACUGCAUUUAGCUUUUAAUAGUGGAUAACAUAUUUAAUCAUUGGAUAGCAAUAUCAAGGUAGCAUACUAAAUCCCAUAACCACAUGACCAAUGUAUACAAGAAUUAAGAAUAUCACAUAUAAACAACACAAUAAACCAUCAUUUAUUAUCAUUAUUCACGUUCAUCAGAGUCCAUCUAUUCCGUCAGUUUUCCGGGCCGCCCGUAUCCGUGGGCACGGCUAGUAUACCAGAUUUAACACUCUGCAGAGGUUGUACAUCUUUACCCAUGAGUCGUGAUUUACCCUUUCACCCGAGGUCAUGAGUCUCUUAACCCCCUUCCAAGGGAGGUCGGCAGGGAUCACUAUGAAGCCUUUCAAAGGUUUCGUCUAACAAGUUAGGGCCAUUAGAUUCACUCGGCAGGCAGAUAUAGAGCCC
RNAcentral lists this long non-coding RNA (5122 nucleotides) under Sorghum bicolor (sorghum). RNAcentral's name for it is "long non-coding RNA (SBIC_LNC006016)". The record is from RNAcentral. Lineage: Eukaryota; Viridiplantae; Streptophyta; Magnoliopsida; Poales; Poaceae.